GGCGGCAUAGUCCAAUGGCAAGACGCCUGCUUCGGGUGCUGGUAAUCCGGGUUCGAAUCCUGGUGCUGCCC
This is a non-coding RNA of Hamiltosporidium tvaerminnensis, 71 nucleotides long. The record is from the annotation of a GenBank genome assembly. Lineage: Eukaryota; Fungi; Microsporidia; Dubosqiidae.